Molecule: small RNA, 239 nt
Filed under: Drosophila willistoni
Lineage: Eukaryota; Metazoa; Arthropoda; Insecta; Diptera; Drosophilidae
Description: GK18480
Source: RNAcentral
AGCGGGCGCCAGAGAUUUGGCCGUGAAUGGUUAUGAGAAAUCCUCAUCUUUAAUCAAGGAGAAGGUUUUGGUUGGUCGUUUCUCACCCGAGAACCUCAACCAGGCAUUCAAUCAGACACGCAACAUUGCCUUGGAUUAUUAUAACCAGCUUCACAAAAAGAUCGAUGCGUAUGCCAAGCUUAAAUGAUUCUAAGCGUCUGGAACGUAGAGCAUUCAUUACAACAACAACAGCAACAACA